RNAcentral lists this long non-coding RNA (524 nucleotides) under Callithrix jacchus (white-tufted-ear marmoset). RNAcentral's name for it is "lncRNA (ENSCJAG00000055730.2)". The record is from RNAcentral. Lineage: Eukaryota; Metazoa; Chordata; Mammalia; Primates; Cebidae.
CUAAAACACAAUUGUUGGUGAACUGUAUUUACACACACAAGGCCAUAUACACUAUAACCAUCUCUGUGGGCUCAUUGCACAGACUCAUGCCACUGUAGCUGGACUCUGAAGAGGACACACCCUAAGAGGAAGGGCUUUGGAAACUCAGCUAAUUAUUCCUGCAGAUCCCCUGGUUAUUAGCAGGGACAGAGGCCAUCCUGCAACCACAGUCGGGCAGCCUCUGCCCCUGGCCACUCCACACGGCUCAGCAGCUCCCCAGUCUUCCGCCUUGGCAGAGCUUCCAACAUUUAAAAAUAACUUGGGACUGUCAAUUACAGAAAACAAGGGAAUACUGACACAUUAAAUCUUGAACACACCUCCCCCUUAGUAAAGCCCUUCUAUAAGGUAAGAAAUGGAAGUACCUCUAUGGAAGUGUGUCUUGGGAACUGUAGGUUUUCAUGUAUACUAUUGAUGUAGAAUAUCAUCCUCAGCAAACUGACACAAGAACAGAAAAUGAAACACCGCAUAUUCUCACUCAUAGGCGG